ACGAACGCUGGCGGCGUGCUUAACACAUGCAAGUCGAACGGAAAGGCCCUGCUUUUGUGGGGUGCUCGAGUGGCGAACGGGUGAGUAACACGUGAGUAACCUGCCCUUGACUUUGGGAUAACUUCAGGAAACUGGGGCUAAUACCGGAUAGGAGCUCCUGCUGCCUGGUGGGGGUUGGAAAGUUUCGGCGGUUGGGGAUGGACUCGCGGCUUAUCAGCUUGGUGGUGGGGUAGGGGCUUACCAAGGCUUUGACGGGUAGCCGGCCUGAGAGGGUGACCGGCCACAUUGGGACUGAAAUACGGCCCAGACUCCUACGGGAGGCAGCAGUGGGGAAUAUUACACAAUGGGCGGAAGCCUGAUGCAGCAACGCCGCGUGCGGGAUGACGGCCUUCGGGUUGUAAACCGCUUUCGCCUGGGACGAAGCGUGAGUGACGGUAAUGGGUAAAGAAGCACCGGCUAACUACGUG
This 467-nucleotide ribosomal RNA is filed under the name uncultured bacterium. Its description in RNAcentral is "partial 16S ribosomal RNA". It matches the Rfam family "Bacterial small subunit ribosomal RNA", at positions 29 to 507 of the family's 1533-position model. The record is from RNAcentral.